GUUCUUACAAAGGACAUUAAAAUUACCAAUAUACCAUGCAAGUUUUGUUAUAUCUGGAACUAUGUUUUCGAAUUGACGGAUGAGAAUCAGUGUAAUUCGGAUGCUAUUUGGGAUGAAAUUAAAAAUGAAAAAGGAACUUAAAAGGGGUGGUGUAAUAAUAAGUGAAAAUGUAGUUGUAUAGUUGUAAUAAAGCAUGUAAAUUCCAAUACCUCACUUGGAAAUACUUUAAGUCUACUAAGUCUGUAUAGUUGGUUUUCUCACCUCUGGAAAAAUUACCCAACAUCAUAAAUGCAUACCAUAUGAUAUUCCAAAUCACAAAUAGACCUAUUCAGCAUAUUGAGUCCUUUGUAUUGUAAGGCACCAGCCCCUAAUCAUUGUUACAUCUAUAUAAGAAUUUUGUUGUUGAUAUUAUUGUGUGUAUUAUAUGACAAGUACAUGCAGUGUUUGAAUUGUGUAUUUUGAAUUGUGCAUAGAUUUAUAAUGUUAUUUAUUUGAAUGUUCACCAUAUGAAAUGUGUUGUUUAGAC
RNAcentral lists this long non-coding RNA (526 nucleotides) under Mytilus galloprovincialis (Mediterranean mussel). Lineage: Eukaryota; Metazoa; Mollusca; Bivalvia; Mytilida; Mytilidae. The record is from RNAcentral.